This 440-nucleotide ribosomal RNA is filed under the name uncultured bacterium. RNAcentral describes it as "partial 16S ribosomal RNA". It matches the Rfam family "Bacterial small subunit ribosomal RNA", at positions 338 to 795 of the family's 1533-position model. The record is from RNAcentral.
CCUACGGGAGACAGCAGUGGGGGAUAUUGCACAAUGGGGGGAACCCUGAUGCAGCGACGCCGCGUGGGUGAAGAAGCGCCUCGGCGCGUAAAGCCCUGUCAGCAGGGAAGAAAAUGACGGUACCUGAAGAAGAAGCCCCGGCUAACUACGUGCCAGCAGCCGCGGUAAUACGUAGGGGGCAAGCGUUAUCCGGAUUUACUGGGUGUAAAGGGGGCGCAGACGGCGAUGCAAGCCAGGAGUGAAAGCCCGGGGCCCAACCCCGGGACUGCUCUUGGAACUGCGUGGCUAGAGUGCAGGAGUGGCAGGCGGAAUGCCUGGUGUAGCGGUGAAAUGCGUAGAUAUCAGGAGGAACACCGGUGGCGAAGGCGGCCUGCUGGACUGCAACUGACGUUGAGGCCCGAAAGCGUGGGGAGCAAACAGGAUUAGAUACCCGAGUAGUC